Loxodonta africana (African savanna elephant) is the source of this 20676-nucleotide long non-coding RNA. RefSeq lists it as uncharacterized. NCBI's taxonomy places the organism in Eukaryota, Metazoa, Chordata, Mammalia, Proboscidea, Elephantidae. The transcript has 2 exons. The record is from RefSeq and is a predicted model, not a curated record.
UAUUUAUUUAUAGUUCACUGAGUACUCUAUGAUACUAUGCUAACAUUUUGCAGUAAUGUAUUUUAUUCUUCUCCCUGUCAAUAACAUUAGGGUUAUUAUACACAUUAAGAAGUACUAAAAUUUCAGUUUUGAGACCAAUUCUUAUAUAGUGCCUAUCAUUGAAGAAUGAAAGAAUGCAUGUAGAUAGAAAGUCUGGUUUAUUGCUGACACAUCUGUUUAUAUUUAUAUGUAUUUUUUAGUAGUUAAACAUUUUGUGUGGCCAUUGAUAAAAAUAUGCUUAAACAUUGUACAAGUUGCUAAUGAGAACAAAAAAAUGUCAUAUAUUCCUCAGGAUGUUUUGAGACAUGUUUUGAUUGACUAUAACAAUAUCAGGGUUAUAAAUUAGUAAUGGAUAUUUUGCUACUACCCAUUGCCAUUGAGUCGAUUCUGACUCAUAGCAACCCUGUGGGAUAGAGUAGAACUGCCUCAUAGGGUUUCCAGGGAACAGCUGGUGGAUUCAAACUGCUGACCAUUUGGUUAGCAGUUGUAGCACUUAACCAUUACGCCACCAGGGUUUCCAUUUUGCUACUGGUAUGCUUUAAAAUAGAUGGAAAUAGCAGCAUAUAGAAGAAAGUAAAGAGAACAUGGAUUUGAGAGCAGUAGAUUUAAAUUUCAUACCAGGUUUUUUGUCUUUAUAAGGCUUAUCUAUUUCUUGUUGCUUUUCUUCUUUCAAAAAAAGAUGUGAUAUUGGAGUAUCCCCACUGCCAUUUUGGUAUGCUGCAUUUUGCUGUGUUGUGUCACAACUGCAGUAUAACUAAUAUAAGCUUUCUUUUAUUUAAUUCUGCUAUAAGCAAUGGAGUACUAAUGUGUUUCUGUCAUUAAAUAUAUAUAGAUACAUGAAACUGCCCUCCCAUUGGGUCACUCUAAAAUUGAUUCUCUAACUUGGGCUAACUAAAGUGGUCAAAUGUUAAAUGAAAAUCAGUCACACUGAUUGAACCCAGCUAACUACACUCCUUUUUAUUAAGUGGACUUUUUCCCUACAGAUGAAAAAUACCAUUUAGGUUGACCUCUAUGCUCUGAAUGCUUUUAAACAUACCUUCUAAAGACAAUGGUUUGAUCAUAAGUUUAUUCUUAUUUUAGGAUUGUCAUAGAAUUACCAUUGAGCAAUUAAAUAAAAGUAUAUUUUAGCUAUGAUUUAUAAAUAGACAAAAUCCUGAAUUAAUUUUUUCAAUCACACAUCCUUAACCCUUAAUAUUUUAAAUGCAUAUCAUAAAUAUUUCAUGAAGUUAAGAAUAAAAUGUGGAUAGAAUAAUCAAGGUGUUAUUGGGAAACACAAGGAUCUAACAAGACACGGAAACACAACAACCUUUAGCUUCAUUUUUAAGACAAGAAAAUAAAAGGUCAAAAAUCAAGAAAUACCCUGAUGUAACAUAUACCUUAGAAAAUUGUCCCAGCUGAUGUUGGGACAGUGUCAGUAUGUAAAAAUAUGAAGGCCAGCCUUGUUAUUGUUAGGUACUAUCUAGUUGGUUCUGACUCACAGCGACCCCGUGUACAACAGACCGAAACACUGCCCGGCCCUGCACCAUCCUCACGAUCACUGCUAUGUUUGAACUCAUCGCUCCAGCCACUGUGUCAUUCCAUCUCGUUGAAAAUCUUCCUCUUUUUCUCUGACCCUGUACUUUACCAAGCAUGACGUCCUUCCCCAAGGACUGAUCCCUCCUGAUAACAUGUCCAAAGUACAUGAGUUGAAGUCUUGCCACCCUUACUUCUAGGGAGCAUUCUAGCUGUGCUUCUUCCAAUACAGAUGUGUGUGUUCUUCUGGUAUAGGGAGUCAAAACCUGAAGGAAUACACUUAAACUAAAAAGUUGUUUAAGAAUAUAGUUCUAAGAAAGUCAGCAUACAUCGCCAUCGUUAUUAAUAUCAUCAUCUACAACAAAAACAACAGCAUAAUCUAUACAGCAUUAGCAGUGUGUCAGAUGCGGUAUCAGUGACCUUACAUAUGUUACUCUAAUUCUCAAAACAACUCACCGAAAAGUGCUUUUAUCCCCAUUUUAUAGAUAAGGAGACUGAGGCUCAGAAAAGUCAAGUAAGUUGUCAGGGUCCCACAGAUAUGUAAUGAGUAAGUGGUAUUAACUCUGUUUGAACUUUAAAUAGGUUAUUGAAAAAUUUAGUUUGCCAUUUGAAUUCUGUUGUAAUUUAUGUGGAAACCCUGGUGGUGUAGUGGUUAAGUGCUAUGGCUGCUAAACAAAGGAUUGGCAGUUCGAAUCCACCAGGUGCUCCUUGGAAGCUCUAUGGGGCAGUUCUACUCUGUCCUAUAGGGUAGCUAUGAGUUGCAAUCGACUCGAUGGCACUGGGUUUGGGUAAUUUAUGUUCCAAAGGCAACUGGGUUAUUAUAAAAAAAAAAAAUGCACAGCAGUUUAGUGUUAAUUGUUUUAUUUGUAAUUUAUAGCCCAUGCCUUGAAUUGAGAAAAUUUUAAAAGUAAAAUUAAAUGGACAAGGCAACACAGAACUAAGAAGUAUUAGUAAGCUAUUUAUACAACAUAGGAAUCACUAGUGAUCUAUCUAAAUAUAAAAUAUCCUAAAUGUAAAUAUUAAAGUAUUUUGAUCAGUCAUGUUGUUAACACUGGAGUCAGAAGAUCAUUUCUGUAUUGAUUUUUGAGUACCUACAGAUAUUAUGGAAACGCCAAGACUUUAGAAACAUUUAUAAAACAUAUGUAUUUUCCUUCUAAAAAGGAAUGAAAAACAAUUAGCGAUGGGAAAUAAAUCGAUGGGUUACUCUUAAUGUUAGACUUUUGAAAGCGAUUGAUUUUCCUAAUUUAUGAAAUCAAACUAAAAGGAAUAGUUCCUCCUGCAGGCUCAGGUUAUGACACGAUCAUUUCAAAGCUCUUAUAUUCACUAUAGAAAAGCCGUAGUUUUUAGUUCAAGAAACUGUUGGCACACCCAUGUAAUUUAUUGUCUAUAAUCUCCCUUAAAAUCUAGUUUUCAAAAUAUUACAUCAUCAUUUUAGGCUUCAGUUAAAUUUAUAUUGAAUUUACUGUUUAUUUCCCAGAUCUUUCUUGCUUGCUUGAGCUCUCAUUUUGAUCUAUGGCGCAACUGAUUCCACUUGUCAAAUUUAUUCGUUGAUCUAGGUGAAAAGAGUGUACCUAAAACCGUCCUACAAAAAUACAAUCCUGAUAUGCAUCUUAAAGUAUCACUUCAGCUACAUUAGUGAAAAUUGAGGAAUAAGAAACAAGAUAAUGGAAUUAUGAAAUGGUGUUAAUGAAAUCUUCAGAUUACAGAUGACUUUUAGUAAUUUGGAGUCCUGGUGGUGCAGUGGUUAAGAGCUCAGCUGCUAAUCAGUUUGAAUCCACUAGCCUUCCUUGAAAACCCUAUGGGGGAGUUCUACUUUGUCCAUAGGUUCAUUAUGAGUUGGAAUCAACUCGACGGGAACAGGUUUGGUUUUUUUUUUUUUUUUGGUUUUAUUAGUAAUUUAGGAGCCCUGGUGGCACAGUGAUUAGGAGCUUGCUGCUAACCAAAAGGUUGGCAGUUCAAAUCCAUAAACUGCUCCUUGGAAACCCUAUGAGGCAGUUCUACUCUCUCCUAUAGGGUCUCUAUGAGUCAUAAUUAACUCGACGGCAAUGGAUAUUAGUAAUUUAAGGAGCCCUCGUGGUGCAAUAGUUAAGCACUCUGCUGCUAACCAUAAGGUCCCAAGUUUGAACCCACUAGCUGUUCCAAAGGAAAAAAGACCUGGUGGUCUAUUCCAAAAGGUUACGGCCUAGGAAACCCUGUGGGGAAGUUCUACUCUGUCCUAUAAAAAAACUUGGUAAAUGAAUAUUUCUUUUAUAAGGAUCAGCACAAAGCUGGUUCCUGUGAAGCAGAGGUUAAACAUAUUGCAAAGAUCUAACUUUUUCAAACAGCUUUACCGCUCACUACUCUUCCUCCGGUCUUUGGGUUUCAUGAUUCGCAGCUAAGUCUCUGAGAACUCGUGAACCACAGUUACAGUUAAGUGGUUUGUGAGGGAAGUAACAGGGUACAACUAGGGUCUCACAAAUGAUUCAAGAUAACAGUUUUUCAAUCAGGACAGCUUCUCAGCCAUGCCCACAGGAAGGCCUCUCAGCCUCUAUGCCUCGCCUCUGCCCUGUUUGGGCAAGUGUUACAAAGCUUUUAGCUCCAUGGUCAGAAAGCCGCACCAUGGCAAUUUCACACUGGUCUCCUGGUCCCUGUUGUCUCGAGCCACUAUUGGUCUUGCUUCUAUUGCGUUGCUAUCUACCACGUUACAGCUCCUCUUUCUCUAUGUCUCCCUCUAAGCCUGGUGGGAUGGCAAAAUGGACCAAUCUCCUUGUUAGGGUUCCGCACAUCUUAUUUGCAUGGCUGCACCCCCACAAACGUUCUGUGCCACUUAUUUGCAUUAGCAGCAAGCUAUCCAAUCCCUUGGUGGGCCACAAGCACCUUACUUGCAUAGUGCCACCUAAUUAUUGUGUGGGAGUCACAAAGACUAGGGGUAGAAGGGCCAUAUGAAGUAAUUAUGAAUUGGAAUUGACUCAAUGGCACACAGCUACAACAUUAGUAAUUUAAAGUUAUUAAUACUAGAAUUUUUCUUUUUUGUGUUUUGGAAAAUACGGACAUUUCAACACAUUUCUGACUUAUGCUUUACCUAAUUUUUUGUUUAAACAUUUUUUAGUAAAAUUAAACUGAAAGGAAAAUGAACUAUGAUCUUGUCAAUAGACUCUUAUCUUAAGAGAAGUUUUUUUUUUGUUUGUUUUAAUUCAUUGAUGACUAGAUGUAGUCCCAUUUGCUAAACCAAAACCAAACCUGUUACUGUUGAGUUGAUUACCACUCAUAGAGACCCUAGAAGACAGUGUAGAACUGCCCCAAGGAACGGUAGCCAAAUGCUUAACCACUGGAUCAUAGUCUUACUUGCUAGGAAAUUACAGUUUAGUUGGGAGUCAGGAAUAAAGCAAAGCCUCAAAAAUUAUAAUGCAAAACAGAGUAACCAAAAAAGGCCACUGCUGUUGAGUAGUUCCCAAUUCAUAGUGACCGUAUAAGUUCAACUAACAAACAAAAGCAAAAAAUAAAAAUGGCACAGUCUAGUUAGAUACUAAUUCCUAAUCCAAUUUCUACAAUUGUGUGGCCUGGAAAUCCAUGAUAUUGCUACUUAUGAUAAAUAUUGUGUUUUGAAGAACUAAAAUAUUUUUGCUUUAUGUUAAUUAAUAGUACACUGUAUUGUUAUGCAAAUAAUGCACACCUUUUGCAUUUGUUUGCCAAACACUCCCACUCCCUGAGAGUGGGGGAAGGGAGCAGCUGGCAAACAAAAAUACAAGGCAUGUGCUACUUGCGUAAAAAUACGGUAUGCAUGAAUUAUUAUAGACAACCUGUAAUAUGUCUUAUAUAACAAAGAAUUGUAUAUAUAUAUUUGAAAACACCGCAAUUGUAAUUACUCACCAAUUGCUGGUUAAAAAAAAAAUGAGUUAGAAUUAGGAAGUGUGAGGCAUAAAAAUAAAAUUAACCAUUUCUUCUUGAGCACCCAUUAUUUUCAGACAGUCUUUGAGACUCAAAACAUCAAUGCAUAAUCAUGUGAAGAUUAUAGCCAAGAAAAAAUCUAUGGAGCAGUUCUAAUCUGUAACACAAGGGGUAACCAUGAGUCGGAACUCACUUAAAGCAAUGGUUUUGGUGUGGAUUGGUUCAUCAGAUUUGUAAUUACUCAAAAGACUGAAGAUAAACAUAAAAAGUAAAAUAAUAAAAUAUUUACAUAUCAAUUCAAAACAGUAACAGAAGAGAUUUCAUGAAAGUGUUGCCUAAUUAAUUUCCAUAUGAGUGGUCUAGACAUUAAUUGCUACUGGAGUUAUCAAGAAAGAAUAUUUCAUACUAGGAGAUAAGGUGAGAGUUUACAGUGGAAGAGAGAUUUGAGUAAACCUUGAAGGAUUUGUCCAGGUAGAGAAAGAAGGAAAAACAUUGCAUUCCAGGAGGUGGUUCAAGGAUUUGACUUCAGAGACUUCUAUACUGUAUGAGAGGGAAUAAAUCUAGGUCAUCCAGUUCUGGAGGAUCUUAAAUAUUAUAUUAACUUGUAGUAAUGAAUAUUCAACAAAUGCCAAUUAUAGUGUUUCUGAAGCUUUUUAAGCUUGUAUCCCACCAGACAAAAACAUUUUGUUCAAUUUCGUUUUCUAAUUUUGUAUUAGGACCUUGUGAAAACAGUUGUUUUGUUUUUCUUUAAUGUCUGAUGACAGUUGGUAUGCCCUUGGAUAGACUGAAAGAAAGAGCAGAGGGAGGUGGCCGAUGCAGGAACCACACAAUUAGGGCCUCAGCCAGGGCAUAUGGAAAAAUAUGAGUUGAAAAGGGGACUUUAACAGGACUUGGUUACUAAGUGGAUCAAAGUGUGGGACCAGCUAGACAGAAAGGAGAGGGAGGACUUGAUGGUGCUGUGGAAUUGAGCUUGACAAAAAAAGAUUGGGAAUGCUCACUAGGGAGUUACGAAUAUUGGACUGGCAGAAAAGUCAAGCCUGGACAUGCAGACUGGAGAGGUUACUUGUUAAAUGAAAUUGUAGGAGCGUUUAAGGGAUGAGGAUCAGUUUUGUCCUAGUUUAAUAUCAGAUAUUUUCUCUCUCGUUGGUUGAAAACAGCAUCUGUUUUUUGUUUUUAAUUAAAAGUAACGGCCCGGCCUUUCCUUGACACAGUGUUCUUAUUUUCUAAUUCUUUGUCAUUUUUGAUAGCAUGGAACUUACAAAGACUGGAGUAUUUGAAUAAUCCAUAAUAGAGAGAGGGAGCAAUGGGAGGAGGAGGCAGGAGGGGAGGAAAGAAGAAAUAAUAGCUUUGGUUUGCAAAAUUCUGUAGGUAUUAAUUUGCUUGAGCUGUUUUCAGCAGUUUCACUUUUUCAAUAGAUACGUAUUUGUAGCUACUGGAGAUGUAGCCUUUUUUCUUCUAAAACAGUGCAAUUUCAUACUAUGAUAACGGUAAGAACUGAGGGAUCAGGUUCUUCAGGUCUUUGUGAGUCAUCGUAUCUGAAAUAAAGGACAUGUUAGAGAAUGAUGUGAAUGAUAAUAUUUGAUGCUUGUAGAGGGAUGGGCAAUAGUAACAAUUGAAGCCUAAGGGGAAGAGUGUGAAUGAGGAGAGAGAAAGGAAUCUUACUGCAUUUUUACGACUGUUUCUAGGAUUGAAGACUCAGCAAAGAGUCUUAUGAUGACUCUUUUGUUAAGAACGAAUGAGCAGAUGUUGAACAAAACACUGAAUAUUGAAUGGGAAUUUUAUAUCACAAUUUAUUUUAAGGAUGGAAGUUUUUUAGUAGUUUUUAAAAACUUUAUUUAGAACUAUAUAUUCAGAGGAUAGCACUAAUAUGAUAUCUGUUCUAGUGUCUUCUUAAUCAUAAAAAAUUAAAUAGAGCUAUCAGUUGUGUGCAUUGUUUUCAAAUAAAAAAAUAAAUAUUGGACUGUAAUUCAUCAAUUUUAUUAUUUACAAAUUGAUAUAUUUUAAGCAAAAUUUUGUGAGAAUACAUGUCCACUAACAGAAUGCAAUUUUAGUAUAGUUUUAUCCAACUUGUUCGGGGAAACCCUGGUGGGGUAGUGGUUAAGUGCUGUGGCUGCUAACCAAAAGGUCAGCAGCUUGAAUCCAACAGGCACUCCCUGGAAACUCUAUGGGGCAGUUCUACUCUGCCCUGUAGGGUCGCUAUGAGUCGGAAUCGACUCGAUGGCAGCGGGUUUUUAUUAUUUUUUUUUCAGUGUUUUAGGAGUGAAAAAAAAAAUUGUCAUUGAGUCGAUUCCGACUAGUAGUGACCCUGUAGGACAGAGUAGAACUGCCCCAUAGGGUUUCCAUGGAGUGCCUGGCCUGGUGGAUUCGAACUGCUGACCUUUUGGUUAGCAGCCAAGCUGUUAACGACCUCGCCACCAGGAGAGGACUAAAAUUUAUUCCAUAACUUCCAUGUACUGGCUAUGUUAUGUUCAUUUUCUUAUUUUAACCUCAUAAAAAAGUAGGUUUUCCAUUAUUCAUUUGGGAGGUUAACAAAGGUCAAACAGCUGGUGAGUGGUGGAGUUUAAACUCAGAGUUUCUUGACACCAAAGUCCACACUACUUAAGUUAUGCUGGAGUUAGUGAUUUGUAAAGAUGUAACCUACCAAAAAGUAAAUUCUUGGGCCAUUGAGGGCACUGAGAUUUGAUGUGUCUCUUUUUGUAUACAAUAGUUAUCAUUAUUUAUACUUUUUUUUUCUUUAUAUCUGCUUUAUUGGCCUAAACUUUCCCAGGAAGACCGCCGUAGAUAAGGAUUAUGGCACUAUGGUCAUCCAGCUGGGAAGGUGACAGCUGCUGCAGCUGAAUCCAGCCCUUGUCAUCAAUAAUGACCUGCAUUUGAUACUUUAUCCCAGCCAUCCUUGUUUAGUGUACAAUGUAUUGCAUUAGAAUAAUUAUCACCUGUCAUCCUUUAUUUAAAAGACAGCUCCUCUUAGUCAUCCCAGACGUGUAAGCAUCAUGUGAUAAUGCACCAAAGCAGGGUUGUGUUCUCAUCCCAUUUGUAGUUACCUGUGUCUUCUUUCUUUUUUUCUCACAACGUUCAAAGACAUUUCAUACCUAAACUUAAGGUUGUCAUUCUGUAACUUUAUAUUGAAAGGACUCUUCCUACUUUUUAAAUAAGAGACAAACACUUAUUAAGGAGUAAUAUUUUCUGAACAGAAAACAUGAUCAGUGGUUUUAGAGCCUGUUCAUUCUGUUAAAAAUACAGAAGAUUUAAAGUAGGAAUUAGAGAAAGGAGUGCUGACUCAAGGAAAGGGUGAUAACCAAAUCCGAAGGGUAUACAUCAUAUAUAGAGGGUUAUUAUAAUGCCUAUAUUAAAAACUUUGAUUUAAUUCAAAGACCUGGGUUUCUUUCAUUUAGUUUUAGGGAGAGACAGACAGGAAAAAUCACUAAAUUACUGAAAUGGAAGCAACCUCCACCGUGAUUUUAAUUAUGAAUUGAAGUCAUCAUAAGUGUUGUUGCAUAUUUAUGGAACGGGUUUAGAAAUUCCUUUGUUCCAGAGAUUGAAGAUGGAGAUUUUUUUAAAGAGUUGUAUCAUCUUUGUUUUGGUAAGACCCUAUUCACAAGCAUCUGUUAUGGUUUAGUUAAUCUAAAAUGCUCUUCGGAAUUUCUGUGUAUCUUAAUUUGACAUUUUAAGAAAACAAAAUAAGUGAUGCCUGCAAUUUGGAAUCACACAUGCUUUAUAUUCAUUAUGUGACUUGCAUUCACCCUGUCCUUAUUCCAGCUUUAUUGUUAGAAGUCCAGGUUCAAGUUUUAACGUCUUUAAUUUUAACAAACUGAUUGGUCUUGAGCAAGUUAUAUAACCUCCCUGAGCUUUCUUUUUCCCCCCAAACAGCUGUUUUUAACAGUGGUUCCUCAUCUGAACCACAGAUGUGAGGCACAGUUUUCUCAAUUCUCUUCAGGACCCUACAGAAUAGUGUAAGUCUUGGGAGAGAAGUGAGUUUAUCGUGUACAACAGAUGCCUUAAAGCAUUAGGUCUUAAUGUACUCAUGGAACCCUGGUUGAGAAUAGCCUAACUGGGGCUACGGUUUUUUCCACCUUACAAUUUUUGCUGCUUUUUUUUUUGUUAAUAAUUGAGAAAAAAUUUUGUCUUUACAAACCAGAGAUGAGUAUAGUCAACUAGCAAUUUAAUACUUUGAGUUCCCAGAUUACUGCUCAACACAAAGAGAUUUCUUUGAAGCUAAAAUUAAUUUCUCAAAUCUGUACCUUUUAAUUACUGUAUAAUUUUACAACAAUAAUGACUAGAGAGAACAGAAGUAUGUUUUUAGAUGUAUUGUUCAAAUCUAUAUUUGUGAAAUUGAGUUUAUGGGCACAUUACGUUGCUUUUGGGAAGAAACAUUUCUUAGAGUUCUGUAAUGUUUGCUGACAAGGUUCAUAACAGUAGAUAAUAAUUAUCGUGCAUGACUAUACAUUUUUGCGAUAAAUUGUAUCGUCACUCAAAAAUGACCUUGUUAGGUGAGGGAGAAGGCAAGAGAGACAUACUGUGCCUCUGGAGAGCAGGUGGAGUGAUGCGUAGCAGGAGAAGACACUAAAGAUUUAUUGUCUGUGGCAAAGGAAACACAGAUCUCUGCUUGUGCAGUAAGUGUUUUUGACAUCACCCACAGUAAAGGGUGAUUGGAAGCUGUAGGUUAGAAAAUGUUCCGCUGAAGGAUAAUAAUGAGCAUUUUUAUGUUGUUCGUAUUAUGGGCUUGUCUUGCUGCUUAGUCUUUGUGGCACUUAAGACUUGAAGGGUAGUCAUGCCAAACCAAUCCUUGUUGUAAAUAGGACCUUGCUACCCAAAUAAUCAGAUUUACCUACUUUAAUUACUAUGCACGACCAGAUUCUGUUGUGAGAGGAGGUAGCUCUAUGAACCAGCGUAGCUUUUCUUUUUUCCUUUCAAUUUCAUAUUUUGCUUACUGAGAACUUUCUUUUUUGUUUACAUGAGCUGGUUUAAAAUAGAACAAAUGUGAGUGAUACGUUUGGCCAGAAGAUUGAAAGAACAAGGACAAUCCUAAUGGAAAGAACUGCAGACCUUGCAGUAUCUGUUCUCGAUGGUCUUACAACAGCCCCAUCUGUCUGAGAAGUGAGGGUUAUGCUUGAGUUAUUGUAGUUGGGUUCCUGUUUGCUUCUGGCCAGAAAACCAGAUAAGGUACACACAGAAAAGAUUCGUAACAAUUUAGAAUGUUGUGUAUAUGGAUAUAGACACCUUUGCUUUUCAAGAAGAGAGAUAAGGGACAUUGUGCCCAUUUUAUUUUGCAUAGUAUUUAGAUCCUAGGGUUUUAGGAUUAGGACCCUUAGUUUAUAGGAUCUAAACUCUCUGGUUUAUUUCCUUCUCUAUAUUCAUGCUGCAGUAACCAUUCUAAACAGAUAAAUGCCUCAAAUAAAAAACAAAAACAAGGAGCAUUCUGUGAUUCACCGUCUGUUCACAUUCUUUCUUUUUUUUUUUUCUGACUUGAAUUCAGUCCCUGUGAAAUUACUCUUUUAAAUCGUUGUUGGGCAGUUCUGAGAAAUAUAGAAAAGCUGCAUUUCCUCUGAUAGUUCAACAGGAGCUGAGUAGGUUGAUUUAUCUGUAAUGCUUUUCCAUAAUGCUUUGAUAUUCUACUGAAAUAUAAACGAUCCAAGUUUUAAUUUUGCCAAGUUGAGACAACUGUAGUAGAUACUGUGGUGUACAUUCCAGCACCCCCUUCAGAAUGGAGACACUCAGUUCUUCAGCUGCCGGGAGUGUUGGCCGUUGACAGCUUACAACUGAGUCUCUCUGUAGGAGUUCCCCUUAGCCAAAGGCAGCCUCCUUGCCCCUCUCCUGGGGCAGCCCGCAUUCAAUAUCUGAUUGAUGUGGCAGUGCAAAGGCUUGGCUCCCUACCACAAUUCAGAGCAAACUGAAGGGCUAUCCUAGCUUCAGAGCUCUCUGUAGGAAUGGCAGAGGCCUCUGUUGCAAUUGUAUCACAGUACAAAUUAGUAGAUAGUAGGUUUAGUAAGGCAGAAAACAGAAAAUUUCUUGUUGUUGUUAGGUGCCAUUGAAUUGGUUUCUUCUCAUAGUGAUCCUAUGCCCAAAAGAACAAAACACUGCCUGGUCCGGUGCCAUCCACACAACGGAUACUGUGUUUGAGCUCGUUGUUGCAGCUACUGUGUUAGUCUAUCUCGUUGAAGGUCUUCCUCUUUUUCAGUGACCCUCUGCUUUACCAAGUAUGAUGCCAUUCUCCAGGAACUUGUGCCUCCUGAUAACAUGUCCAAAGUACGUGAGAUGAAAUCUCACCAUCCUCACCUCUAAAGAGAAUUCUGGCUGUACUUCUUCCAAGACAGAUUUAUUUCUUCUUCUGGCAGUCCAUGAUAUAUUCAACAUUCUUUGCCAGUACCGUAAUCCAAAGGCAUAAAUUCUUCUUUGGUCUUCUUUAUUCAUUGUCCAGCUUUCGCAUGCGUAUGAGGCAAUUGAAAAUACCAUGACUUGGGUCAGGCACACCUUAGUCCUCAAAGUGAUAUCUUUGCAUUUUAACACUUUAAAGAGGUCUUUUGCAGCAGGUUUGCCAAAUACAAUAUGUCAUUUGAUUUUUUCACUGCUGCUUCUAUGGGUGUUGAUUGUGGAUCCAAGUAAAAUGAAGUCCUUGAUAAAUUCAACAUUUCUUCAUUAUCAUGAUGUUGCUUAUUGGUCCAGUUUUGAGGAUUUUUCUUUUCUUUGUGUUGAGUUGUAAUCCAUAUUGAAGACUAGAGUCUUUUAUCUUCAUCAGUAAGUGCUUCAAAUCCUCUUCACUUCCAGCAAGCAAGGUUGUAUAAUCUGCAUAUCACAGGUUGUUAAUGAGUCUUUCUCUAAUCCUGAUGCCAUGUUCUUCUUCAUAUAUAGUCCAACUUCUCAGAUGAUUUGCUCAGCAUACAGGUUGAAUAAAUUUGAUGAAAGGCUACAACCAUGACCAAUCCCUUGUUCUAUUAAAAAAACUGCCUCUUGGUCUAUGUACAUGUCCCUCAUGAGCACUAUUGUUUUGGAAAUCCCAUUGUUUGCAAUGUUAUCCAUAAUUUGUUAUGAUCCACGCAGUUGAAUACCUUUGCAUAGUAAAUGUCUUUUUGGUAUUCUCUGCUUUCAUCCAAGAUCAGUCUGACAUCAUCAAUGAUAUCCCUCCUUCCAUAUUCUCUUCCAAAUCCAGUUUGAAUUUCUGGCAGUUUUUAAAUUUUCUUCAGCAAAAUUUUAUUUGCAUGUGAUGUAAAUGAUAUUGUUCAACAAUUCCUACAUUCUGUUGGAUCACCUUUCUUUGGAAUGGGCACAGACGUGGAUCUCUUACAGUUGGUUGGCCAGGUAGCUGUCUUCCAAAUUUCUUGGCAUAGAUGAGAGAGUGCUUCCAUAGUUGAAUCUGUUUGUUGAAACAUCUCAAUUUGUAUUCCGUCGGUUCCUGGAGGCUUGUUUUUGCCAAUGCCUUCAGUAGAGCUUGGACUUCUUCCUUCAAUACCAUUGGUUCUUGUUCUUAUGCUGCCUCCUGAACUGGUUGAACUUUGACCAGUUCUUUUCAGUACAGUGACUCUGGUUAUUCCUUCCAUCUUCUUUUGUUGUUUUCUGCAUUGUCAAUAUUUUGCCAUAGAAUCCUUUGAUAUUGCAACUUGAGGCUUGAAUUUUUUCAUUUUGAGAAAUGCUGAGUGUGUUCUUCCCUUUUGAUUUUCUAACUCCAAGUCUUUGCACAUUGCACUGUAAUACUUUACUUUGUCUUCUUGAGCUGGUUCUUAGUCUUUGUUUUAUGUCAUAUAAAGGAUCUGCUUCAUUAUUGUGAGGACUUAACCAUGACCGAAUUAUUUUUCUCUUUUACUUUUUUUGCUGAUACAAUAUUUUUUCGUUAAUGGAAUGUGUACUGAAUCAAUGAGUGUGUCUGAAUUUUUGGUAGGUGACAUGGACUUUGAUACAUGUUAUGUGGGACACAUUUGUCCCUCUGACUAUGGGGGUGGGAUUAUGUGGGACAUAUACGUCCCUUGGGACUCUGAACAGCUUUCUAGAUCCCUUGAUAGGUGCUUACAAUGUAUGGCACCUGAAGAUGAGGUAUUCAUGCAAAUGUGGAAUCAUAGUGAGAAAUGCAACCUACAAGUAACACACGGGAACCUGGAAAUAUACUUACAAGGCUUAUCUCCUUGUACAAAAGCCACACACAGACAAAAGUUUUGCAGAGUUAUACCUCUAGGAUGCACCACCUCAUGCAAUACACUGUAAAAACAAUAAUUUGCUUCACACACCCAUUUUUUUCCAUUUCAAACAGCUAUACAGGUCCCUGCCUGAUGUCAGUAUGUACUGUCAGUGGGAAAGCAGCUUCCCAAUAAACCUGAAAGGCAGAAAAUGUAGGUGGAUGCUGUAUGUCCCACAGGUCAUGAAACGGUUUGAGUUAAUACAUGUAGGACACUUAGAAUGUUCCCUGGCAUAGAUUAAAUCCUCAGUAAGUGUGAACUAAUACCUUAGCCAUAUGUUGGUUAUCAGUGCAUUUCUUACAGGAAAUUUUGUAAAUUUAUGAUGGCUGGCAUGAAAAUGUAGAAGCUAAAUCAUAAUGGGAAUUUGGGGAAAUAAGAUUAUUCUAAGGUUAGAUUAACUAGUAUUAUUUAAUUGUGGAAGCUAAAUCGUAAUGGGAAUUUGGGGGAAUAAGAUUAUUCUAAGGUUAGAUUAACUAGUAUUAUAUAAAUAAACUGUGGAAUAUAUUCCUAAAAGAGAGACUUGCAUAUCGGACACAUUGCUUAACCUACUAAGUGGACUUCUAAUUGGGCAAAACCUCUGUGUAUUUGCUUUCUCAUCUUCACUGUCAGUGUGCAAUUCUGUGUAGAAAAAAAUGUGGCAGAAGGUUCAGGAAGCUUCACACUCAUCAAUUAGUGUGGAAGAAAGGAGCCCCAGUGGUGCAGUGGUUAAGUGCUUGGCUGGUAACCAAAAGGUCAAUGGUUUGAACCCACCAGGUGCUCCGCGGGAGAAAGACAUGGCAGUCUGCUUCUAUAAAGAUUACAGCCUUGGAAACCCUAGCACAGCCUACUCCGUCCUUUAGGGUUGCUGCGUCAGAAUCUACGGCAGUAGGUUUUAGUGUGGAAGAGACCAUCUACUCCGUCCUUUAGGGUUGCUGAGUCAGAAUCUACGGCAGUAGGUUUUAGUGUGGAAGAGACCAUCUCCAAAACAACUGCUUGAAAUUAAGACUAGGUUCCUGAGUUAAAUCCUUCAAGUAAUGUAUUCAAAAUUGAGAAUUAUCUAUUUUAAAAGCAUUUAUACUUGAUUUUAGAAAGCUUAGAAAUAGAAAAUUGUGUUUUUGUUAGGCAAUUACAGAUUAACAACUCUGUAAUUUUAAUUGAAUUUCUUUAUCUUCCUGUUGGCAGGAGUCAUCUCUGUAUGUUGAAUCCUCAAACUCUAGGGAGAAAACAUUGGGUUAGAGAGAAGGAGAAUCAAAGGGCAGGAGAGUCUGCCAGCAGGGGUGGACAUGCUUAAUGUAUUUAAAAGAUUAAUGGGCUAUUGAAAUUAAAAUCACCAACACAAAGCAGGUUGUACCAAACUCACGAAUAUGUGUACAACAACCAUAUGGGCUAGAGCUUAGGCCGGUGGCUUGCCUUUAUAUUAUGACAGGCACAGAAUAGGCCUUUUUAUUGUGAAGCCUGAAUAAAAUAUCUUUUAUUUGUCACACAGAUUAGAAAUAUACUUAACCACAAGAACUCAUGUUCACAUUUUUUCCCCAAGCAGUGUAGUGCAUCAUUUUUUUGGUGUGGUGCCAGAAUAGAAUACUGUAAAAAUAUGAACAUUUUUCUCUUACUGCAGCAGUUUAAAAUGGUCUUGUGAUUUAAUGACUUUUAAUGAGUAUAACAGUAGUAAUUAUUUCUAUAUGUAAUACGAUAUAUUAGCCACCAUGGAUAACAAAGAAGCAAUACUUACACUAAUGUAUUACUUUUGCAGCAUGAUUUUAAUUUUUCUGUAGGGACUGAAUUGGUCACAGAGAGCUUGACAUGAAAAAUGCAGAAGCAUUUUAGAUACAUUUAAUGGACUUGAAUUCUAGAACCCUCUCAUUUUUCCUGCUUUUCUGUCACUGUUCUCUGGUUCACAAAGAUAUUCUCUAGAGUAAAAUAUUUUGUAAUUUGUAUGAGGGGCACUACCAGUUACGUUAGGCUUUGCAAGACCUCUGGCAGGUUUUAAUUAGCUUGAUUCAAACUCAGACAUGAAUGACCCUUUGCCUUCAGUCUUAGACAGAGAACUUCCUUUUCUUCGGUGUUCCCCUUUCCUAUGGACCAUCUCUGUCUAAAUGAGCAAUAAUAAUAUUUAUAAUCAACAUUGUGAUACCUUUUGCAUGGAGAUGAAACAACAAAUUGCUAGGAAUGUGUAAGGCAGUGAUUUAUGGUUAAAAACUAGAGUAAAAUAGUGGCCAGAGUUCAAAAUAUCUUUUUGUUUUACUUAAAAAUGAUUAAUUAUUCAGUAUUAUUAGUGAUUUUAAAAAUACCAGCAGGGUGAUAGGCACGUAAUUGAGGAUCAGUGUAUAUUUGGCUGAAUAUAUAGUUGAUUGCUCAAGUUGUUACUUUGUUAAUCACACACAGCAUUUUAUGAUUUUUUUAUUCUGGUCUUGUUUAGGAGGCAGUAGUGGUUCAGUGGUAGAAUUCUCACCUUCCAUUGGGGAGACCUGGGUUUGAUUCCUAGCAAUGCAUCUCAAGCACAGCUACCACCUAUCUGUUAGUAGAGGCUUAUGUGUUGCUAGGAUGCCGAACAGGUUUCACUGGACCUUCCAGACUAAGAUGGACUAGGGGGAAAGGCCUGACAAUGUACUUUAGAAAAAUCAACAGUGAAAACCCUAUGGAUAACAGUGGUCCAAUCCUGUUGUGCAUGGGGUCACCAUGAACCUAUGACAGCUAAUAACAAAGCAACAUCUCUACCAGGGUAGACAGAAGUUGAAAAUUAGAGUUAUGAAAAAAUGGCCCAGAAUUAUGAGUGUCAGGAAAAGUCACUAGCAGAGACAAUUUUCCAUGGAUGAUCUAUAUUGAGGAGAGCUAUCCACGACAAUAAGUUCAAAUGCAGACAUCAGAAAAAAGCCACACUAGCCUAAAAUUUUAUAGAUAUUGCAAGCUAUCACCCAGAGACUUUCUUCUGCUGUUUUUUUGUGCUGCUUUAGAUGGUUAUAUGAGAUCUGGCUUUCAAGGACGUUGAGGCAAAUCUCUGAAUUUUUUAAAAGUUUUCUAUCACUAGGAAUUGCCCGUUUAAGGAACUGAAAUGGGUACCUUGUUUUCUUAAUGCUCUGACUGAGACUAUAGUGAUUGGUUCCUAUUUUUUAUAACAGAAUUAAAAGCUUAAUUAAGCAUAUGAGUGUUUUUUAACUUUAUAAAAUUUGAACUAAUUUCUUUUUGUAAGUGUAAAGCAAGAAAAUUAUUGUUGCAUUUUUCUUUGUAACAAAUAUUAAAAUGAGGUAUGCCUUCAUAUGAUUGAACGGAUGCAUAAUCAAAUAUUCUUUGCAUGCAGGCUGUGCUAGGUGUAGAAAAAAUAGUAAAUUUGACCACAGUUCUUACCCUUGUAUAGAACUGGGUAGGAAUGAUUAUAAAUGUGUAGGUAAUUAUAAUCUAUACUGCAAUAAAUAACCUGAGUUUAAAGUGAAUUAUUCUUGAUACUUUGCAAUAAUUUUAAAAUUAUUAUCUAAUUAUUUCAGGUGUUGGUUUUUUCUCCUUCCCUAGCUUUUGGGUUUAAUAAAGAAUUUUUGUUUCUUUUGCAUCAUCCUCCAGUACCUGAAACCAAGCUGGAUCUUACUAAAAUAUUUCGCUUUUUCUUUCCAUCAGCUACUACAUCUGGACUUUUAUUGAGGGAAGAAAUUAUCCUAAAAAGAAAAAAGAAAGCUUUUAUAGAAUUGGAAAAAUGUAAGAACAUUUUGGUUGUUCAUUUAGUUUUGGAUGUGAGAUUAAGGGGAAGAAUUUGAAUAUAGGAGGCAUCUAGGCAGGGUUCAAAAGUAGUGCUACCAGUUGUAGUGCUGAUUUAGUAAAGAGAAUGCCAAUAGCUUUGAAAGAGUUCUGAUCACAGAAAUUCUGAAAAGAACACAGUUUAAUAGCCUGUGUCAUUUAAAAAUUUAUCUGGAUAAAAAAAAAUUUUUUUUUUUUUUAAUCUGGAUAGAGAUUAAAAAUUCAGCAAAAAAGAAUGUCCCUGUAACUAAAUAAUUAUAUCAUUUAUAAAACAAAACAAAAACAACCCGUUGCUGGCCAGUCUGUUCCAACUCAUGGUGACCCCAUGUGUUGCAGGGUAGAACUGCUGCAUGGGGUUUCCUGGGCUACACUUUUUAUGGAAGCAGAUCACCAGGCUUUUCUUUCAUGGCACUAUUAGGUGGGUUCAAACAGCCAAGCUUCAGGUUAGUAGUCUAGUACAUAAUGUUUGCACCACUCAGGGACCUUUUAUAUCUUUUAUCGUACAGUAGCGCCCCCUCCAUCUGCAAUUUCACUUCUGAGGUUUCAGUUACCCAAGGUCAACUUUGGUCCUAAAAUGUUAAAUGAGUAGCUUGAUCAAAUCUCUCACCUUCCAACUCCAACCUACCACAUUCACAUAAUUUUUAUUACCAGUAUAUUGUUAUAAUUGUUCUAUUUUAUUGUUAGUUAUUGUUGUUUAUCUCUUACUGUGCCUAAUUUAUACAUUAAACUUUACCAUAGGUAUGUAUGUAUAGGUCAAAACAUAGCAUCUAUAGGGUUCGGUACUAUCCACAGUUUCAGGCAUCCAUGGAGGGGUCUUGGAACAUAUUCCUGUGGAUAAGGGGGGACUACUGUACUUACUGUCCUUGUUUCAUAGUAAUAGUAAUGACUGAUACAUUUGAACCUUUUUAAAAAGUAACAUCAUAAUGAUACUGGGAAUGAGAUGUUAUUUCCUGCAUUUAGAACCAUGAACAAUAUCUCAGAAUUAAAAUAUGUGAUCACUUAUCAGAUUAUGCACAUAGCGAAUCCUAAUUAAUUCCAUUUUCUUACAAUUUAUAAUCGGACUGUAGUUCCUGGUACUUUUUUUUUUUUGGUGUGGGCAUUUAUAGUUUAAGAAUAUAGAUUCUACAGGAGCUAAAUCACCCCCUUAAAGUACAUUAACUCAGGUGCCCCUCUUUAAUAUAACUACACAAUAGCUGGACCACAGUAGAAAUGCAUCACAUAUCAUUGCAGUGAAUGUGAAAUACCAAAUGUUCCUUCCAAAAGCUUAUUUACACACAAAUGGGCACAGCAUAUCCAUUGCUAAUUCAUCCUAGAUUUCCUAGUCCUUUGACUGAAUUAUAAAAAUGUCUUAACAUUUUUGCACAUUAUAGUAACUAGCCAAAAUCAAUAAUUUAAUACUUUCCUUUCAAUUUAUCCCACAUACCUUAAAACCCAGUGCCCCUUAGCCAUGGAAUUAUAAAUAUAAAUGUACUUUUUUGCACUUCAGUUUCUACUUCACUUCCUCAUACUUGUGCUUUGAUCCAACUUUCACCCUAGUUACUACAUCUUCUGGCAUCUUCCCGGUUUUAGAUCCUCUUUUCUCAGUCCAGCUGACCUCUGAACUUCUCAUUUUUUAUGCUCGAUGUUUCUACCUAGACAGUCUGUGCCCAACUGUUACUUGCUUUGUCACUACUUCAUUUUCCCUUUAGUGCCUCACGAUGAACCACCACAGGCGACAUAUAAUUUCAGGAAUGCUGUUUAUAGUUAAGCAAACUGUGCCCCCUAGAAAGGUGAAAACAGAGUGGAUAAUAGGGAGGGGAUACAGAAAUACCGUGUUUUUUUUUUUGUGUGUGUGUGUGUGUGUGCUGGCCAAACAGAGUUGGCCUGGAGGGCAACGGCACUUUUUUUUCUAAGACCACGGGUGGUAACUUUUUAAAAAAUGAGAACAUGUAACUUUUAAACUAGUAUCUUCACUUAGGUAGUGAAUAUGGGCUUUAAUUUUAGAGAAAUGUUAGAAAUCUCUCUAAAAUUUCUUAGGAAUGACCAGCACUAUUCAGUUGCUGUUUUUGUAUUGUUUUUAAAUAGAAUUUCCAAAAUCAUUUCUCUGAAAGCACACAAGCUGUCUUUCCAACGCCUAGUGUGCAUCCUUCACAAAAGAAUUGUCAAAUAGGUAGAUGCUUUUUUGGUUUAGAACUUGACUGCUGAAGAUAUUUCUGCUCUAAUAGCUGCUUUCAAGUUUUAUUUUAAAAAAUUCCAUAGAUCAACUAUUUGCCAGUGCAGAUUUGUUAUACAGAGGAAGUAGUAUUAGUUCAUAGCAUUUGUUUAAUUUUGUCACGUAGGACGCACUGUGCUUUAGAUGUAUUUUCACAGUUCUCUCAGUAACCCUAUGAGACAUGUGCUAUUGUUUUCUGCAUUUUGUAACUGACACAUUGUUAUAAAUGAUACAUUUGUAAAAGACACAUUGGUCAAACUCAAAUAGCUUGUAAAUGGCAGAUUUAGUUUUCAAAGCCAGAAGAUCCUACAUUAUUGACCACUGAGCUUUAUCCCUCCAGUUAUCUUAUUCAAAAGCCUUGACAGAAUCAUUUACUGAUACUCUUGUCAGAGAAAUUCAAUUCUGUUGCUUGUUCCAUUCACAUUUGUAUGUGCCCUGCUUAUAUCUGAGCAAAAACUCGAAUUUUUAGUGACUGUUAGUUUCUUCCAAUAAUUUGGCUCAAUGGUAAGAUUACAAUGAAGAAAAAAUAACUUCAAAAUUUUUUAUGGAAUGAAGUGGGAGAAAGUACAUAAAGAAAUAAAGUGGAAAUAAAUUUUUUCUGAAUCUUUUUGGAUUUAAAAGAAACACAUGCUUAUUAAAGAAAAAUUGCUUUCUAAUUAUAUCAUUCUUGUUUUUAUAUUAUUACAUGAUUUUUAUUGUAAAAGUCACAUAGAAUUUUACCAGAUAGAUUUACUAUAGGUUAAUUUAACAAUCCUCCAUGUUGGGAUAUUUAAUAGUUUUUCAUGGGGUUAGGGGAAGGGCUGAGGGCACCAUUAUAACUAGUGCAGAAAUAAUUACUUUUAUUCCAAAUUGGGUAUUUUUGAGGAGAAAAUAAAUAGGUUUGUAAUGAAGAAUUUGGGAGAAAUAUUUUUUUAAGAAAAAAAAAAAUCACUGCUUUAUGCCCAAAAGAAUUGUUGUGAGCCAUUUAUAUAAUUAUACAAGGGAAUCCUUCCUUCAUUGCUGCCCUCCUGGAAUUCCUCCUUCACUAAUCUUUAGACUGGUAAAAAAAAAUUAAAAAAAAAAAAAAAACCCAUUGCCGUUGAGUCGAUUGCCGACUCAUAGUAACCCUAUAGGACAGAGUAGAACUGCUCUAUGGGGUUUCCAAGGCAGCACAUAAAAUUUAAACUUUUUUUCUCUUCUUGACAGUCCUCUUCAGGAAACAAA